RNAcentral lists this ribosomal RNA (405 nucleotides) under uncultured prokaryote. RNAcentral describes it as "bacterial SSU rRNA". It matches the Rfam family "Bacterial small subunit ribosomal RNA", at positions 355 to 774 of the family's 1533-position model. The record is from RNAcentral.
UGGGGAAUAUUGGGCAAUGGGCGCAAGCCUGACCCAGCAACGCCGCGUGAGGGAAGAAGGUUUUCGGAUUGUAAACCUCUGUCCUUGGUGACGAAAAAAAUGACGGUAGCCAAGGAGGAAGCCCCGGCUAACUACGUGCCAGCAGCCGCGGUAAUACGUAGGGGGCGAGCGUUGUCCGGAAUUACUGGGCGUAAAGGGUGCGUAGGCGGCGCUUUAAGUUGGAUGUGAAAUGCCCGGGCUUAACCUGGGACCUGCAUUCAAAACUGGAGUGCUGGAGUGCAGAAGAGGAAAGCGGAAUUCCUAGUGUAGCGGUGAAAUGCGUAGAUAUUAGGAGGAACACCAGUGGCGAAGGCGGCUUUCUGGUCUGUAACUGACGCUGAAGCACGAAAGCGUGGGGAGCAAACA